UCCGACUGUUUAACAAAAACAUAACCUUUAGCCCCAAACAAGUAUUAAAGGCAACGCCUGCCCAGUGAACAAUUAAACGGCCGCGGUACCCUAACCGUGCAAAGGUAGCGUAAUCACUUGUCUAUUAAUUGUAGACCCGUAUGAAAGGCAAAAUGAGGGCCUAACUGUCUCUUAUAAUAAAUCAAUUAAACUGAUCUCCCAGUCCAAAAGCUGGGAUGUUAACAUAAGACCAGAAGACCCUGUGAAGCUUAAACUAAACUAUUAAAACACAUAAUAGCUCCUUUCGGUUGGGGCGACCUUGGAAAAAAAAAGAACUUCCAAGGCCAACAAGCCAAAAAUCGACCCAGCAUAGCUGACAAUUGAACCAAGUUACUCCAGGGAUAACAGCGCUAUCUUCCUCAAGAGCCCAUAUCAAAAGGAAGGUUUACGACCUCGAUGUUGGAUCAGGACAUCCUAAUGGUGCAGCCGCUAUUAAGGGUUCGUUUGUUCAACGAUUAACAGUCCYACGUGAUCUGAGUUCAGACCGGAGA
Molecule: ribosomal RNA, 530 nt
Filed under: Macrelaps microlepidotus
Lineage: Eukaryota; Metazoa; Chordata; Lepidosauria; Squamata; Lamprophiidae
Description: partial 16S ribosomal RNA
Rfam family: Bacterial large subunit ribosomal RNA
Source: RNAcentral